Molecule: ribosomal RNA, 486 nt
Filed under: uncultured bacterium
Lineage: Bacteria
Description: partial 16S ribosomal RNA
Rfam family: Bacterial small subunit ribosomal RNA
Source: RNAcentral
AUUGAACGCUGGCGGCAUGCCUUACACAUGCAAGUCGAACGGCAGCACGGGUGCUUGCACCUGGUGGCGAGUGGCGAACGGGUGAGUAAUACAUCGGCACAUGUCCUGUAGUGGGGGAUAGCCCGGCGAAAGCCGGAUUAAUACCGCAUACGAUCUACGGCUGAAAGCGGGGGACCUUCGGGCCUCGCGCUAUCGGGUUGGCCGAUGGCUGAUUAGCUAGUUGGUGGGGUAAAGGCCUACCAAGGCGACGAUCAGUAGCUGGUCUGAGAGGACGACCAGCCACACUGGGACUGAGACACGGCCCAGACUCCUACGGGAGGCAGCAGUGGGGAAUUUUGGACAAUGGGCGAAAGCCUGAUCCAGCAAUGCCGCGUGUGUGAAGAAGGCCUUCGGGUUGUAAAGCACUUUUGUCCGGAAAGAAAAGCUUGGCCCUAAUACGGUCGGGGGAUGACGGUACCGGAAGAAUAAGCACCGGCUAACUACGUG